GGGGGUGUAGCUCAGUGGCAGAGCAUGUGCUUAACAUGCAUAAUGUCCUGGGUUCAAGCCCCAGUACCUCCA
Molecule: transfer RNA, 72 nt
Organism: Camelus ferus (Wild Bactrian camel)
Lineage: Eukaryota; Metazoa; Chordata; Mammalia; Artiodactyla; Camelidae
Rfam family: tRNA
About the family: Transfer RNA (tRNA) molecules are approximately 80 nucleotides in length. Their secondary structure includes four short double-helical elements and three loops (D, anti-codon, and T loops).
Source: Rfam